Molecule: ribosomal RNA, 452 nt
Filed under: Picocystis salinarum
Lineage: Eukaryota; Viridiplantae; Chlorophyta; Picocystophyceae; Picocystales; Picocystaceae
Description: partial Eukaryotic large subunit ribosomal RNA
Rfam family: Eukaryotic large subunit ribosomal RNA
Source: RNAcentral
GACCUCGGAUCAGGUAGGGAUACCCGCUGAACUUAAGCAUAUCAAUAAGCGGAGGAAAAGAAACCAACAGGGAUUGCCCUAGUAACGGCGAGUGAAGCGGCAACAGCUCAAAUUUGAAAUCUGGCCCUUUCAGGGUCCGAGUUGUAAUUUGUAGAAGAUGCUUCGGGUGUGGCUCCGGUCUAAGUUCCUUGGAACAGGACGUCAUAGAGGGUGAGAAUCCCGUAUGUGACUGGACAGGCACCCUUUGUAAAGCUCCUUCGACGAGUCGAGUUGUUUGGGAAUGCAGCUCUAAAUGGGUGGUAUAUUUCAUCUAAAGCUAAAUAUUGGCCAGAGACCGAUAGCGCACAAGUAGAGUGAUCGAAAGAUGAAAAGCACUUUGGAAAGAGAGUUAAACAGUACGUGAAAUUGUUGAAAGGGAAACGAUUGAAGUCAGUCAUGCUCUUUGGUAUUUA